RNAcentral lists this ribosomal RNA (433 nucleotides) under uncultured bacterium. RNAcentral describes it as "partial 16S ribosomal RNA". It matches the Rfam family "Bacterial small subunit ribosomal RNA", at positions 29 to 507 of the family's 1533-position model. The record is from RNAcentral.
AACGAACGCUGGCGGCAGGCCUAACACAUGCAAGUCGAGCGAGGACUUCGGUCCUAGCGGCGGACGGGUGAGUAACGCGUGGGAACGUGCCCUUUGCUUCGGAAUAGCCCUGGGAAACUGGGAGUAAUACCGGAUGAGCCCUUUGGGGGAAAGAUUUAUCGGCGAAGGAUCGGCCCGCGUUGGAUUAGGUAGUUGGUGGGGUAAUGGCCUACCAAGCCGACGAUCCAUAGCUGGUUUGAGAGGAUGAUCAGCCACACUGGGACUGAGACACGGCCCAGACUCCUACGGGAGGCAGCAGUGGGGAAUCUUAGACAAUGGGGGAAACCCUGAUCUAGCCAUGCCGCGUGAGCGAUGAAGGCCUUAUGGUUGUAAAGCUCUUUCAGCUGGGAAGAUAAUGACGGUACCAGCAGAAGAAGCCCCGGCUAACUCCGUG